AACAAAAGCACAUCUAAUAACUCUUCAGAAUUCUCGUCUUCUUUGUCAGAAUGGUUGAUGCGAUCGUUUCCUCUCUCCUGGUGCAGCUGAGCUCAGUUGCAACUGAUGAAGUGAAACAACAGGUGAGGCUUGUGACUGGUGUCGAGGAAGAAGUGAAAAAGCUCACCCGCAAUCUUCGAGCCAUUCGAGCUGUGCUGGAAGAUGCAUUCUUUUCUUUUUCGGUCUACCAACUAGAGCCUUUAUGUCAGGUGGUCGAACCUUUACAGGCACCACAACAUCAGG
Molecule: long non-coding RNA, 282 nt
Filed under: Citrus sinensis (sweet orange)
Lineage: Eukaryota; Viridiplantae; Streptophyta; Magnoliopsida; Sapindales; Rutaceae
Description: long non-coding RNA (CSIN_LNC005269)
Source: RNAcentral